CGAGACAGGUGCUGCUAUGGCUGUCGUCAGCUCGUGUCGUGAGUAUGUUGGGUUAAGUCCCGCAACGAGCGCAACCCCUGUCUUCAGUUACCAUCAUUAAGUUGGGGACUCUGGAAGAUACUGCCCGGUCAACGGGGAGGAAGGUGGGAUGACGUCAAGUCCUCAUGGCCUUUAUGUCCAGGGCUACACACGUGCUACAAUGGCGCAUACAAAGAGAAGCGACCUCGCGAGAGCAAGCGGACCUCAUAAAGUGCGUCGUAGUCCGGAUUGGAGUCUGCAACUCGACUCCAUGAAGUCGGAAUCGCUAGUAAUCGUGGAUCAGAAUGCCACGGUCGAAUACGUUCCCGGGCCUU
Molecule: ribosomal RNA, 353 nt
Filed under: uncultured Peptostreptococcaceae bacterium
Lineage: Bacteria; Bacillati; Bacillota; Clostridia; Peptostreptococcales; Peptostreptococcaceae
Description: bacterial SSU rRNA
Rfam family: Bacterial small subunit ribosomal RNA
Source: RNAcentral